AUUGAACGCUGGCGGCAUGCCUUACACUUGCAAGUCGAACGGCAGCACGGGAGCAAUCCUGGUGGCGAGUGGCGAACGGGUGAGUAAAGUAUCGGAACGUGCCCAGUCGUGGGGGAUAACGUAGCGAAAGUUACGCUAAUACCGCAUACGAUCUAUGGAUGAAAGCGGGGGAUCGCAAGACCUCGCGCGAUUGGAGCGGCCGAUGUCAGAUUAGGUAGUUGGUGGGGUAAAGGCUCACCAAGCCGACGAUCUGUAGCUGGGCUGAGAGGACGACCAGCCACACGGGGACGGAGACACGGCACAGACUCCUACGGGAGGCAGCAGUGGGGAAUUUUGGACAAUGGGCGAAAGCCUGAUCCAGCCAUGCCGCGUGCAGGAUGAAGGCCUUCGGGUUGUAAACUGCUUUUGUACGGAACGAAAAGGUUUGGCCUAAUAAGCUGAGCUCAUGACGGUACCGUAAGAAUAAGCACCGGCUAACUACGUGCCAGCCGCCGCCGUAA
This 500-nucleotide ribosomal RNA is filed under the name uncultured bacterium. RNAcentral describes it as "partial 16S ribosomal RNA". It matches the Rfam family "Bacterial small subunit ribosomal RNA", at positions 29 to 523 of the family's 1533-position model. The record is from RNAcentral.